This 254-nucleotide ribosomal RNA is filed under the name uncultured bacterium. RNAcentral describes it as "partial 16S ribosomal RNA". It matches the Rfam family "Bacterial small subunit ribosomal RNA", at positions 524 to 776 of the family's 1533-position model. The record is from RNAcentral.
UACGUAGGGUGCGAGCGUUGUCCGGAAUUAUUGGGCGUAAAGAGCUCGUAGGCGGUCUGUCGCGUCGGUCGUGAAAACUUGGGGCUUAACCCUGAGCUUGCGGUCGAUACGGGCAUGACUGGAGUUCGGUAGGGGAGACUGGAAUUCCUGGUGUAGCGGUGAAAUGCGCAGAUAUCAGGAGGAACACCGGUGGCGAAGGCGGGUCUCUGGGCCGAUACUGACGCUAAGGCGCGAAAGCGUGGGGAGCGAACAGG